Molecule: long non-coding RNA, 18459 nt
Filed under: Xyrichtys novacula (pearly razorfish)
Lineage: Eukaryota; Metazoa; Chordata; Actinopteri; Labriformes; Labridae
Source: RNAcentral
CUUGUUUCCAAACAUUGAGGAACAUUAUUUCUUAUUUCGCAGACAAGCAGGGAACUUUCUUGUCUCUUAUUGGACACUACCGUCAAAGGAACAAUAGAAGAAGAAUAUGAGACCAUGUAAUUGGUCGAGAGUUUGACAGAAAAAGACGUCAUCAAAACAGCUGUCUUUUAAUUAUCACUACAACCUGAUCAAUAAUCCUGUUUUCACCGGUAUAUCACUGCGGAUUUACCAUCAAACGUCUCUGAUCAAACACCUGUUUUUGUGGCUGGAUUGUAAACCUUGUGGCAGGUGUAGAAAUGUCUGGAAACCCUCGAUACAUCGUCAAAAGGGUAAACUUUUGAACACUUUAUAUCCUGUAGAGAUACACAGUAUAGUUCCUGAGAAACUGUAAACAAUAUUAAUGGUGAUCCAGUGGAGUUCUACGACAACUCUGCUGCAGAAGCUCAGGAUAGGACGGCUUUAUCCCCCCAGGAUUUUUCCACUUAAACUGAUCUGAGAAACAGGGGCGGAGCUAGACUUUUUGGACUAAGGGGGCCCAAGUCCUGCACUCAGUAUCAAAGGGGUGGCCUAAAGGGAUGACGUCUGUUUACAUUUAUCAAAACUGAUAAUAAUCGCUGUAAAAACUCCACCUUCUACUCCUCCUAUUAUCUAGACAGGAUAUCAAAAUUAACAGGCCUUAAUGUUAACGUUUUGCAACCACUCUGUACCUCUGUACUCUACAACCCAAACAAAAAACAUCCAUAAAAAUCCACAUACCAACUAAAAUCUACAAAGAUUGACCCGGCUCACAUGGAAGAGCAGGUUUUGGAUCUUUGUUUGAACGAGGUGAACCCAGUAUGCCUUCAGGUAGGGCUGGCCGAUAAACUGAGAAUUUACCGAUACUGAAAUUUAUGACAAUAACCGACGUCAUUUUGCCCAUAUCGGUGUAUUUGGUGUCAAAAAAAUGAAUAAAUGUUGUUUUUGGAUGUGUGUAGGUAGGCUAUGGUCUCAUGUCCCUUUAAGACGCUGCCCUUCGUCUUAAAGGGACGUCUUGUUGCGGCUGGAGCGUUGGCUUGAGCAGACGAGGUUAAUGUGGGAGGGGGUGGCAGCUUGUGGAGUAGUUAUCGUCCAUUUAUCGUUACCGAGGUGAUCAAUAUAUCCUGAUAUUGAUUUGAGGCCAUAUCGCCCAGCCCUACCUUCAGGGUUACACUGUCUCCAUUAACAUAAACCAUAAAGGUGCUGCAGUAAAGAGGAGUUUCAUAAUAACCCUGUAGCGCUGAAAUGUUGAUGUUAAAGAGAAAAUGAAGGUUUAGAUAACUGUUUAAAUAAACAAAUUAACAUUCAUAUUGGAUAUGAAUUUAAAGAGAAACUUUAAUAAUUAAGGAUUGACAGAUUAACGACGUCAUUCUUCACUUAUAAUUGGAAAAGUAUUAACCGAUUAAAACGAAUUUCUUCCUUUAGAAAAUCUGAUUGACCGAGAGUUUGAAAACGCUCGAGUAUCAGACGUCAGGAUGAGAAAACCUGAUUAUAGAGGAGGCAUCGUCAACCUGCUGAAAGGGUGACUGUCAUUAAAAAGUGAAUAAACAUGCUGCAGAUCGAGUUUCUCCACCAUCCCUCAGAGCAGGUUUCACAUUAUCUCCACAUUACAAACACAACAAUAAGACAUAAAGCUCCUUCUCUUAAUGAUAACCGAGAGGCGGCACAGAGGUACAAACAGCACCUUGACACAGCGGCCAUAUUCAUUUGUAUCCCUUAGUAUUCAAAAUGUCAAUGACAUAUUUGUCUAGACGCCAUUAUCUCCGUCUGGAUUCCACAACAGAGCUGCGGCGAGGCUGAACGUGGACGCCCGCGGUUCAGUGUUGAUAUAUUUCCCUGGGGAGGCUGCGGUUUUCUCUGCUGCAAGAAAAAUCCUUUUUUUUCUUUUCACUGAACACAAUUUGCUCAAUUUCACUAUGAAGCAACAGAGUCUGAAAAUCCAUUUCCCUCCAUGGAGAAUUUCAAUGAGUGUUUUUACUUACAGUGAAAUGAAAAUGAUGCUGUAAUCAGACCGCAGUCUUAACCGGGGGCCAAUUAGUGAGCUUUACAUUGAAGGUUAAGUUCGGACUUAAACAGAUGGUUCUGCAAAAACACGUCAGUCAACAAGUUUAACUUAUAUGUUUUAAUGGAGAAAUGUAGUCUGCUGUUUAGUUUAACUGAACAGUAUGACUGUAAUUCUGACAGAGUGAUAUAGAAAAUAUAUAUAUUCAAUUAUAAUAAAGAGUGUUUUAACCUGUAAGUUUUCAGGCUGUUUAAAACUUGGUAAAAAAUCAACAAAAAACUCAUUUGCAUUAAAUCUUAAUUAAAAAAGUGAGUUUAUUGUUCUCUGCCAACUAAACUUUAUCCUACUGAGAAAAAAAAAUACACCUUUAAGGUAAUUUUUUUCUUUUUAUAGGAUCUUUAAUUCUCUGAAAGAAUUUAUGGCUCAUAAACUUUUACUUUUAGGGUUUGUAAUGGGUUUUGGUGUCCCAGGAGAUUAGGAACCAAGUUCACCUCAGGGGCGGUAAUCAACAGUGACACUACAAUACGAUAUUAUCACAAUACUUUAGCCACAAUACGAUAUUACCAUGGUAUGAUACUAUCACGAUACUUGGGCCAUGAUAAGAUAUAAUCAUGAUACUUAGGCAACUGUACUAUAUUAUCACGAUUCUUGAGCCAUGAUACGAUAUUAUCACAAUACUUGGGCCAUGAUACGAUAUUAUCACAAUACUUGAGCCAUGAUACGAUAUUAUCACAAUACUUGGGCCAUGAUACGAUAUUAUCACAAUACUUGGGCCACAAUAUAUUAUCACGAUACUUGGGCCAUGAUACGAUAUUAUCACAAUACUUGGGCCAUGAUAUGAUAUUAUCACGAUGCAAUACUAUCACAAUACUAUGGCCAUGAUACAAUAUUGUCAAAAUACUUGAGCCAAGAUACAAUACUAUCAUGAUACUUGGGCCAAAAUACGAUACUAUCACGAUACUUGGGCCAUGACAUGAUGUUACCAUGAUUCUUGAGCCACAAUACAAUUUUAUCACGAUACUAAGGCCAUGAUACAAUAUUAUCAAAAUACUUGAGCCAAGAUACAAUACAACAUGAUACUUGGGCGAUGAUACAAUACUAUCACGAUACUUGGGCCACGAUACGAUAUUAUCACGAUACUUGGGCUAUGUUACGAUACUAUCACGAUACUUGGGCCAUGAUACAACAUUUUCAUGAUACUUGAGCCACAAUAAAAUAUUAUGACUACACGAUAUUAUCACAAUACUUGGGCCACGAUAUGAUAAUAUCACGAUACUUGAGCCAUGAUACAAAAUCAUCACGAUACUUGGGCCACGAUAUGUUACUAUCAUGAUACUUGGGUCAUGAUACAAUAUUAAUUACACUUAAUUACACUUAGCAUAGAUGGAUGCAGAGGUUGUUAUUUCCACUUUCACGCACAACUCUUGUAACUUUGUGUAACUCUGUGUAACUUCUUCUGGUGCUGGGAUGUUUUAUUAUUUUUUGGGAACAACGCAGAACAUCUGGUGUGUCUGGUUUGGCAUCUUAACUCUGCUACACUAAAGCGAGAGGAGUGGGAGUGUCUGCCUGCACACCAGACAAAAUCUCUCCCGUCAUUAUGCUUCUCCAAGGUCGAACUCAACAUGUUUUUGUUGAAAGAAUAUUUCCUACAUUCCACAUUUCUUGGUUGCUGAGGGCUGAAGUAUGACAGAAGUAUGUGUGUACAGAAGGAGAGGAGGAAUCUAUCCUUCAUUAUCAGGGACCUUUAACUCCUGAGCUGAAUGUGUGCCGCGUUUCUCUGCAGCUGUUAACAAGAAUAAUCCUCUUUUACCAGUAAAUGUAAUUAGUAAUGUAAAUAAGUGACGGGUAAGAGAGCCGAGCUUAAAGAAGCACAUUUGGAGGUUCAGCAGAGAGACAAAAAAACGCUGACUCAUCAGUUCGAGUCGCAGUUUUAGGACUUUUAACUGGAAUUAAAAAUAAUGUCUGAAGCAUUAACGGCUGUUUCUCACCAUCAUCCGUACGGCUAAUAUUCCAUCUACGCCUUUUUAACUUUUUACUCUUAAACUUUUUGAGAGGUAAUUAUCAUCCUUUAGACACACACACUCACACUCACACACACACACACACACACUUACACACACUAUCUAAACUCCAGAGGCGAGCUUUGAUCACCAGCACAUUAGCUUUACAUUAGAAACAAUCAUUAGGAGGACAUCAUCCUCACCACCAAUUUGCCUUGGGAAAAUAGUGGAGCUGGAGUGUGCUUCAGCCCGCAGAGCGCCAAUGAGCCACGGCAAACCUGAUUAAGCCUCAUGGUAAUGUAUCGCUCCUCCUGGCCCGGGCUUCUGGAGAUGAAGGACUCGUCUUCAUAUUAAACGGAAACCAGAGACUGAAGUGGAUUCAUUUUUAGAAAACUCCUUUGAGGAGGUUUUACUCCUGCAGGGAAGCGUGUGUCAAAAGAUAAACGAGUUCAGUAAUGUCGAGAUAAACCCUCGCAGGUCGGAUUUUCAAAGAGUCGCCUCUGAGGCCGCCGCCGCUGCCGCUCUCAGGCUUUAAGAGAGUACAUCACACUGUCAUGAGUCAAACUUUCAAUAUUUUUAAACCUGUGAAAAAAACAACAACUCUUUUAUCUAACCCAGCUGAGGAAUCGAAAAACAGCCAGAUGCUUUUUUCAGGCUUUUAUUUUGAAAGGAUGAGCUCAGAGGCACCAACCUCCAUAUGUCAGCUGCCUAACGCCCCGAGUUAUUAAAAUCAACUUUAAUGUGUCCUGACAGUUUAGGAAUAAAGUCAGAGAAAAGCCAAUCACGUACAGUAGCAGCCCUUUUUACACGAGCGCCACACGCCUGAAAAUUCACGACUUAGCAGAGGUGGGCGACACGACCAAUCAGAACAAAACAAAAGAACCGACAACCAUGAUCGACCCAACUGUAUUCAUACAUCAUCCUCUUAAACAAAACUUUUUUACAAAUUAAGUUUUUCAUACUUUUAUUUUGACAUGUAUUUUUUAUAUAUCCUACAUUAUCAAUAUGAUUUUUGGUUUUAGGUUUUCGAGUUCAAAAACGGUCCUGACGUAAAAAUGGUCCUUUUGUUUAGUCACCCAAAGAAAAAAAAGGUUUUAAAGUUGUUCAUAAAUUUAUAACAAAUCUUAAACAUCGGUUUAAAAAGUGCUGAAUCAGCUCUCAAAAAUUAGUUUUACAGCUAGUUUACUGGAAGUCUGCUUUUUCUUCUUCUUCUUCAUUAUUUUAUAUUCUCUGUUUCACAAUAUUAUAAUACAUUAUAUUAUAAUAUAUGGUAACAGACUCCACAAUGGUUAUAAAGAAUUGUGUUGCUAUUUGCUUAUUUUUGAUAUCAAAAAUAUCAAAUUUUUGAGCGCACAGACGGCCGAGUGGGUUAGCGCCCUAUGUAUGGGUACCAUGGUCCCCGCAGCAGCCGCGGAUUUGAGUCCGACCCCGACCAUGUGCUGCAUGUCCUCCCACCCCAUCGCCCCAUACUUCCAACCUAUCCUAUCAAUAAAUCACCAAAAAAACUUUAAAAAGCAAAAUAAAAAAGUAAAGAAAGUAAGUUAUAGUCCAAACUUAAUCCAUGUCAAACUGUUUAAACGUUUCUACAUAUAAAUAUAUUAAUAUGUUAAACAGGAAUGAUCACAGCAGACAGUAGUAGAGGAUUUAUUAUAGAUAGACCUUCAACAGCUGACAUACUGCCUUUGUGUUCAGGUACAGCAGUCUGCUCUCUACUGUAUAUUACUCACCUCUACACACACACACACACACACACACACACACACACACACACACACACACACACACACACACACACACACACAGUUUCACACAGGAGCCCAAUGAAGCUGAAUUAACAAAUUACAGAAGCAUCCUGGGCUCAUUUGCUCGUCCCCACUGAUCGGGCAGAUGCUCACUGGCAGGAAUUCAGUCCAGUAUUCAGUAGAAGAGAGUCUGCGGUUUAACACAGGAGGAGGAGUUUUAUAUACAGACGGAUGAAGACGAAGAGGAAGAGGAAAAGGAAAAGGUCUGUUUUACACUCAUGUAAAGAGAAAAAUGUAUAUGUUGUGAAUCAGCUGUUAAAUUAGUCAGAUAAAACAGGAUAAAAUAAAAGGUUUCCCUCCUUUACUGAGAUUUUUUUUGUCUUUAUUGACCUGCUGAAUCAUGUGACAAUCCCUCACACACACGACAUUUCAAAUAACCGACAUUCAAUCUAUUGCAAUUAUGAAAAUAUUGAUUAGCUCCUGGAAAAGGGCAACUCAAGACCAGCACACACACACACACACACACACACACACACACACACUGCAGGGUGUGUGCAGCACAUAAUGACAUCAUGGUAUAUCCAUAAUCGCAUUACUCAAAGAUUGGCUUGUUGCUGAAUCUGCUCUAUGAAUAAAAUAGAAGAAAAUAUCUUUAUAAACACGAAUUAAAGAGCUGCAUAACACUUAGAUGAUAGUGAGGUAAGAGGAGGGUUAAACCAGAGAGGAUAUAUGCUAUUUAUCUGUAUGUGCAUUUAGGCCACCCCCGCCUAUCCGAGCUGGGCCACCCCAACCUGAAAAGUCAAGACACACCCCUGCUAGAAUCCGAUUUUUCACAGUCCUGGUUUUGUUUUCGACUUAAAACAUCGGCAGAAAUCCAUGAUACAUUUGUGACUAUUUAUAUUUAUUCAUGUUCAUGUUUAAAUCUGGACAUUCGUCUUUUUUUGAUAUUAAAAAAAAAAAUCCUGUCAUGGAAACUAGGAUGCUAUUUUUAUUUUGGAUAUCCAGGACCAAAAUAAUGACGUUUAUUUAUUGGAAAAAUGAUCUGCAGCAGAUAUUUAAAAAUGACUGAGUGGAUGUUUGCAAAAAUGCUCAUCUACUGCCUUAAAGACACCUGGAAUAGAUUUCAAAUACUCAGGAUGUUACAGAGGAACAUUCAUUCGAUCGAGUCAUUAAAUGUUAAAAUGCUCCUUUUUUAAUGUGGUAAUAAAUGGAUAAAUCUUUGCUGUGAUUUUAUUGUGAAAGGAGGAAAUAAAACACCCCUCUGUGACUUUAGUUUGCGUCCGUGUCCGUCUCGUCUCUGUGAUUAUAAAUCGGAGCGGGCUUCAGCGGCGCUUUUGUCAGUCCGUAUUGAUUGUAAGGGAAAUACCUGCAGUCUGACACAGCCAAUUUGUCAUGAACAGUAGAGGCGCACACCCAAUGCCACUUUACAGGUCCAAUUCAUCACGUCGUAUUGACUCGCCUCGGCUUCUUCCUGGCCAUCAAUUAUAAUCGGAGGUAAAGGCGUCAGCGCGCCGCUCGACGGGUCCCUGUGUGUUUAUCAAAGAUAGUAUGAGAGGAGAGUUUGUGCUCCUUGUUAUUGACCGAUCUGUGUUUGAGAGCUUCGGUUCACUCGCUGCAAUAAGAGGUAAAAGCCUCUCCUUUCUCUCGCCAUCCUGACCUCCUAACACCCCCUCUUUAGUCUACAUUUACCCUGUGACUCCGCCCACCCGCUGACAUCUUCCUCAUCAGUACCAAACCCCCUGGUAUUUAAUGUUUCCAGGGAGAGAAAGCCUGAUAGAUUCGGGGCGUAAUGAUGCGGCUCGGACUCGCAGGCUGUCAGGUGAGCGCGUGUCUCAGCGCCCCCUGGAGUCUCGGAAAGGUCAGCGUGCCUCUUAAUCAAACAUCAGGCAGGCCAACCCCACUGUCAGCUGGACGGAGACGCUCAGCCCCUCGCUGAGUCUAAAGUUCACUCCCAUCUGCUUCCUGAAACCGAACACAGACAUGAAACGGCAGCUGUGGAUCCUCCUCAUCGUGGCUUUAAAAGCUCUGAAUGAUACAGAAGAUUAACGAGACUCAAAAAUGGAGAUUCAGGGAAAGUAGAAGGUGCUGCUGGGUGUAGGGCUGGGAGACAUGUCCUCAAAUCAACAUUAGGAUAUAUUGAUCACUUCACCUCGAUAAUGAUAAAUGGACGAUCACUACUCCACAAGCUGCUCACCCCCUCUACAUCUGCCGCCGUCUUCCAUCUCCUCACCUGUCCUUCCCUCCCACUGCGUAAUGCAACGUUGAAAUGACAUCUAUUUAAUGUUAGUUUAACGUCUAAAAGCGGUCCAAUAAUGAUGUCUAAAUCUUGGAUCUAUUUUGGACAUUGUGCCGACAACUAGAUUUGGUCUUCAAAUGAAAUUCUAAAGUCAGAGCAACGUUUAAACAAGGUCCAAUUUGGACGUUGAAAUUUCUAACCUAUUCUGCACGUCGCACUGACGUCUAGAUGUGGUCUUUGACGGACCGACCCAAUACUGACUUGAUCUGUAUGUCUCUUCGACAUCCGAUGUUACAUCUUUGUUACGGACUGUAUGGGGUGGAGUCACGUCUCUGACGGUAAAUUCUCAGUUAAUCGUCCAGCUCUACUGUCAUGGUAUUAGAGGUGAAGCUGGAGGCAAACGUGUGUUAUCACAUCAGGGUAGAAGGUGACGAAGGAUUCCUAUGAUCUUGUCUUUUCGUGUUGUUGGUUUCAGAAUAUUAUAUCAUAAUGGUGCUGCUCACCAAAGAAGUUUCGGAGUAUCUGAAUGUGCUGAAGUGUUUAAGGUAAAGGUCAGAGGUCAGAGUUAAGUUUGAAAAGUAUAAUGAUCUUCAAAAGAAUAGACCGAUACAGGCUAAAUGACGUUGGUUAUUGUUGUAAAUUUCAGUAUUGGUAAAUUUUCGGUUUAUCGCCCAGCCCUACGCUGGGAGUGGACAUGGGCCGACCCUCUAAAUGGGGCGCUCAUAGAUCAUGAGGCCAUAAUUGGUCAAAUCUACUUUUUCAGAUGCAUUUUAGGAUGGACUUGCAGUCUGUCAGACACAUCACAUGUUUUACAGAUAUUUGAUAAUAUUCGAUAACAUUAUUAGAGAUGAAUAUUUAAUGACUGUUAAUGACACUUUAAAUAGUUAAAUCCAACUUUUUAAUGUGUGAAAUUAAAGGUUUGUCUUUCUGGUGUCAUAAUAUGUCAUAAAACUUCUAUUAAUUUCCAACAUUGUUUAAAAAAACUUGAUUCCUGCUGUCCGUAAUUCGCCAUGAAAUUUGCCUCACAAACGGAUCUGGUAGGAAUUGCCAGACAGCGAAAAUUGCCGCCAUUCUGGAUCGGAGCCGUUUCAGAUGCAGUGAAAAUUGGGGGUAAAUCUGCACACAUGUUCACCUCACUGUAAGAGAUUGAGUUCACAGUGAGUAAAACAGUCGUCACAAAACAAACACACUCGCUGCAUUAUGAGCUGUCGUUUCGAUAACCUCGGCCUCGACCCCGCGCACUUACAGACUCCAACAGCAGGAGGCGGUCAAAAUAAAUCUCCAGAGAAAUGAAUCUGCCUUCAUCGAGGAGACGUCUCACCUCAGCCCGCCUCGCUCGGUUUCGCUCCUCCUCCUCCUCCUCCUCCUCCUCCUCCUCCUGCGGCCUGUUGCCUCUCAGAGAUGCUGAACGUUCGUCUGCUCACUCUCAUCAAACCUCCGCGUUGUUGUUGUUGUUGUUGUUCGGGGAUUAUACUUCCCUCUCUUAAUGAGCCGCUCACUUGAAAGGCGGAUGAAUCUUUUUGUGCGAAGAAAAAGAAAAAUCCUCCGAAGAGCUUCGAGAUUCACGGCAUGAUUACGCCCCUCAGAGAAACAUCUAAUGCGUUGAAAAAAUGGCGUUCAAAAGGGCCUCCAAUUAAUUCAAAUGAAUCCCCGACACCCGUAUCAUAAUUAAUAAUGUAUCAGCUGCUCCACCAGAGGAACACAGAGGCUAAUCUGAGCGGGCAGACUGUACGGCGAGGAGAAACCCCUCUAAUGUUUGGGGAAUAGGAAACAUUCUCCUCGCCAACAGGUGCUUUUUCACUAUCUGUCUGCUCGCUUUAAUGAUCUCAUUAGAAAGACACUCCAACAGGAACGCCGCCUUUAGCACCUUCGCUACACGACGGGGACUACAACAGCAGCCGGGCCGCGCCGCCGCCGCGCAGGGCGUCUGUCUGAUGUCACCGCUGUAACAGGAUCUGCUUACUUUCAAGAUGGACAAGACCGAGAGCGAGAUAGAGGGGGAAAAAAAGCCUAAUUGAAUUCCCAGAGCUCGCCAUGCACAAAGCGCUCGCCACAGCGCUGCACACGAGCAGAGAGGCGCCACUUCACAGCGAAGAUUUAGAGCCUCUGAGUCCUGAUCCUCUAAUUUGAGCCCAAAUUCAAACCUUGUAACGUUAAAAUCAUGGGUUCAAAGGUCAUGUGACUCCUUCUCCAUCACAGCUCCUGUAGCUAAGCUGCGGCGCUACUUUUAGCCGCUCAGAGCUCCGAGGAACUACGGGAGAGGGGCGUGUCAAAUACAGCCAAUGAAAAAGGGAGUUGCUCCAGAUCCGCUUCGCUCUGAACCAAUCAUGUUCUGAAUUCGAACCAAGUAUCAACCAACUGCAAAGUCGUAGCAGACAGCAGCUCCACCCAACCAUAGCACUGUAACAGGUGAAGCCGACAGCACUGUUGGUGAGAAACAAAGAAAAUGAGUGCUACCCCCGACAGAAAUGACCAUGAAGGCUCAACAGAUGACCACAUCAAUGUCAACCACAACACUGGCGUUAGGAAAACGUCGGUGAAAACGUCACACAUGCAAUAGCUUAUUGUAUUGCAAAAGACACGCUACCAAUGAGCACUCUUAAAUUUCCUCUUUUUAUAUCGUGAUAAACUUUUUUCCAUGUCGCUCAGCCCUAAACAAAACCUACGUGGACUCUUAAUUUUGGAAAGUUCUGUGUCUUUGUAGGUGAUAAUGAGGUGAACUAAAGUCUUGGAAGUUAUUGACUCGUUUUUAAAAGGUGUGACCGCAGAGUUUAGAUCCAUGUGGCGUCUUAAACUGUCAGAAAAAACAGCUGAGAGAAAAGCGCUGUGAACGCCCCAACAAUGCAGAUUUGUCCUCUGGCGUGGGUUUGGACUCGAAUGCACCCACACACCGGUGCAAGUUUUCCUCCUCGCAGCGACAUUACUUUAUAACCUUGACGAAAAUAAAGGUGAAGAAACAUUUAGCGUGAUGGAUUACCCAUCUCAAACAAAUUGAAACUCUCUGCGAGUUGAUUUUCUUUCACUGCAUGGAAAUUAAUGGAAAGUGCCUGCGAGGGGAGGGAAUUAAUCUAAAAGCAUAUGUUAUAGUUUGGAGAUCAGACGGCACUAACUGUACAUGCAAUUUGUAGUUAAUGGCCUAAAACACCAGUACGCUCCCUUAAGCUCGGACGCCGCUGAGAUAUGGAUGAUGCAGAAGGUGCUGUAACUGAAUCCAGGAGGAUUUAGUGGAGAUGUUGUGCUCUAAAUUUCUGCAGCGAGGUCUGGCUCUGUUUUUAAGGAGGAAGUGCUCUGGCAGAGGCUCCUCAUAAUCAAUGGACAGCACUGAAAUUAGAGGCUAAAUUGGUGGUCUGUCAUCCGGGGAGAGCGUGCGGUGCCAGAGUAGAUUUUAUGUCAUAGAUACAGCUUCUGGUUUUCCCAGGCCAGAUCCGAGUCUGGACUUUGUUUUCCGAACUGAUUUAAAAUUCGAACAGACGUGUAGAGAUAGAUAUUAGAUAUAGAGUACGACAUCGUGAGCUGAGUUAGCUCGUUCAACGUUUUGAUGGAAACUCCCUCAGCCGCCGAUAAAAGGCGUUUUCCUCUCAUGACGGAGCGGGUGUUUGUGUCGGGCAUUAACGAUGAUUCCCCUCAGUUCCACUCGUUAGGACUCUGACAUGAUAAGCUGGUUCCCACCACUUACUCCUGGUUCUGAGUGUAAUUGCAUUUCACAGGCAGACAGUGUGUGUGCGCGGAAUGAGUAAGCGGACGCCUCGGUGACUCAAUUUGUCUGAAAUCACUACAUCUCACCGCCGAUAUUACCGUCUUACACGUGUAAUUUUGUGUCUUUUGGAGGACGGGACUCUGUGAACGAGUAUUAGUCUGAGUUAGAAGGUAAACAGAUCAGGAGGGAGGGGGUGAGAGCAAGAGUGAGAGCGACAGAGUGACAGACAGAGGGGCAGAUGGAGGGAGGAUAAAAAAGGUGCAUUGCCAAUUUUUUGACUUUCAAAUUGGAGCAGAGCGUCCACCAUGAUGAGGGAGAUUGGAAACCUAUUAAAAACUAAGCUGAGAAAAACAAUUGGGUCCUAAUUUCUGCCAAGAUGAGCCAGACUCUGCUUGGACCGGGCGAAUAAACAUCUCCGACUCUGAUGAGGAUUUAAAGGUAGGAAACAGAGAGAGGGGAUGACAGAUCCACCCCCCCGAGUCAUGAAUCUGCAUUUGGAAGUCCUCCAGCUGGAUCCUGUUCGGGGUUUCCAUUUGGUGUUGACCUUGUGAUGACUUUCAGGUUCGCUGUUUUCCUCUUUUGUUAAUUUGAAAUGUUUGAUCAAUCCUUUAUUCAGAGAUGACUCAGGAGAGGUGACGAGAAAUGAGAAAAAGCAAAAACCAGAACGUCUUCUUGAGGUGGUCUAAAGAUAAAAGACUUAUUCUGUGUUCCAGUUGUACUCAGAAGUCGGGAUUUCCGAGCUCUGAGUUGGAGAUUCGUCUUUAUUUUUUACUGCCCAACGUCGAAUGGUGAACAUGGUGCCGACAUGCCACCGACUUGUUUACUGUAACGCUGUCAAUUCGGGUGUAGCGUCAUUCCCAGCUCCGACGUCCGUGGUAACUGGAACGCAGGAUUAGAUCUACUAUAGAUGUCAGAACAUGAAACAUCUAUGUCAGAAACUCUAUCCUGUUACUCAAACAUGUCAGGAACCGACUGCCUGCAGUGUCUGCAGACAAGACGAGCUUCAGGGUUCGUUCCGGUCGUACUUCGCCACUCCACGACAUUUUUGUUUGAAGACGGUUGAACGUUUGUGGAGGUUGUUGUGGUUUUAACCCCGAUAAAGGAAACAAAAACAUCCCUCAGACCGAGCUUCUCAUUAAGACCUUCUCAUUAAGACCUGGUUCUGGUCGCGCUUAUCCAAGGCUUGAUUGAUGAUGGGCAGCUGGACCCAAACCAAGUCUAGUACCCUGUUGCGGACGGACAAAAUUGUCACCCCAACUGUUUGUGAAGUUUGAUCAGCCUCCUGAUCACGUGGAGUUGGGGGGGGAGGAGCCUAUGAGAAGGUUACCUCAAGCCCAUGAGAAUUUGUGAGACAAUUCACGGCAAGCCAGUGGGCGGGGUUAAUGACAUCACAUGACAGGUGCGAACCCAAAACGGUCGACGAUGGAGGGUGUUUUAUCGGCAACAUUAGCGCUAAUGUUCAAAGGAGGGUGGGGCUACAUGAGUUUGGCCAAAAAUAACAUCCUGAUUUUUUUCUCUGAAAACUCGAUUUUUGAUUUCUAUUUUUUAUUCAUAUUAAAAAUAAAAAGUUUUUCUCUCACAACGAAACCACUGAAAACGAUGUAGUACAUAUGCCAAGUCAGUAAGUGGCGCUGUAACGCUGCGUGGGUACACUUAAAAGAGUUAAAACUGAGCAGAACUUUUUACGCUAACACCGUCUAGACGUUACAUAACUAGAUGCCAUCUGUUAUCUGUUUGUUGACUCUGGAGUAGGAGUGGCUCAGGCUAACGAUGGCUGCCACAGCUUAGACACAAGACAAGACGAGCUUUCAGAUUAGAUUAGAUAAUCUUAUUAACGACCAGAGUAGAAACUCAUUUAUCACAAGGUUAAUCCAUAAACACGACAAAAACACUGACAAGACAACCAAACAGAGUCCGCCUUCUUGAUCAGCUGAUGGAUAUAAUUUUGAUAAGAUGGUUCAUGCUGACUGAGUCUAAAAUACAGAAUCCAGGAGUAUUUCAGCGAUCACAUGAUCCAUCAGGUGAAAAAAAACACGUCCAACAGGAGGAUCUAUCAUCCUUGUUCUUGCAAAAACUCAAAUUAUCCGUCAUUACCAGAGUGGUCGGUCAGAGCAGGAAUAACGGAUUUUUCUGGUGCAGCCGCUCAUUUAGAAACUGAAGCUGAUUUUAGAUGUAAAAACGAGUCAAAUACUGAGCGGUGUUUAAGUGAAGUGAAUGUCAGCCCGUGUAAUCCGCUGUAUGGUCCUUAACUGAUGACGCCCUUCUAUAUCUUUAUGACUGCAUUUUAUAGGCAUCAAUAAGCGAUAAUGGCUUUCGCUUGGAUUCACUCCUGAAUGCACUUCAUGAAAAGAGACAAAUGCAUCAUGUCGCUCGUAUGUUGAGUGUGUUCGCGGAGUUUAACUAUGAUGUUGAAGCAGAAGAUAGAAAUCAACCAGAGUCCUUGAAGGAGCCCAAUUACUCUGCCUCUUCAUAACAGACGAACGUCGUCGCCGCAAUCAGACCUUAACAAGCGCAGGUCCUCCAUCUCGAGAUGCAAACAAUGUCGGGGAUGGAUGGGACCAGCUGUAUGAAAUAUUCAGCUGCUGUAUACUCAUUAUUUCACCGGAGCACUCAGCAUGGUGCAGCCCGGCUAAGUGGUGAUUGAUUGCUGGGAGAGAGGGAGAAACAAAGAGAGAUGGCGGAUCCUGUAUGCAAGAGGAGGAGGAGGAGGAGAAGGAGGAGAAGGAGGAGGAGGGAAAAAAGCUGCGGAAUAUUUCAGAGCUUUUAUGUCUGUGUGUGUGUGAGAGUGUGUGUCUGUGUGUGUGUGUGAGGCAGUAAAAUCAAGACACAGCACACAGUGUGACGCAACUGUAACCAGUUUCAAAAUUCAAUUAUCUCAGCGGCGACAAUAAAAAUGAAUGGAGCAACAAUAAAAUAAGUGUGAUGUCCCGGUUUCUACAACUCCGGGUUUGACUGCCGGUGGGAGUUAAUUUGAAUCUUCGGCGCCUUUUAAUCUCUGCCAAAUAAAAUGAUUAUUUCUGCUUUUUUUAUCUGGAGCACAAGAGACACAAACUUCAAACCAAAACUGAUGGACUAACUUUGUUUGUUUACCCUCCUAAUAACAGAAACAGGCGCUGAAUUCAGCACUGUGGUCUUCAGACUGUCCUGUAACAUGUACAGACGUUUAUACGAGCAGCACUGGGACAAAGUGGUCAUUUACUGUGAAACUGCCGAUUGGUCUCUGAAGCGUUCACAACAAUUAAAGUGGCAUUAAGGUCCCAUUCAUUAACAUGCGGAAGCAAUCAAGGUGUUUGGGUUUUAAAGUUCUGUCCAUAACUUACAGAAAAGUUCAAUAGUUUGGGAAAUUAGCUUGUUUGUUUUAAAGCGAUUAAAGGUCUUCUAUAAUGAUGUUAUUUAGCUAUUUACAACAUGUCCUAGUUGGGUUUAAACUCAAACAUCACGAGUUCAGCCUCUGUGGGGAUCUGAAACCUCUCGAUUCCUACCGUUAAUGAGGCGAGCUCUAAUAUGUGGUCAAAAAUGUGGUCAAAAAGGGAAUAUAAGCUGAUGUGUAAAGAUGCAGAGGCGGAAAAACACCAAAACAAUCAUGGCGAGCUCUCCAGAAGAACCCAGACAACAAACCCAGCGCUGAACUGACCCUCACUGUUAUUGCAGCAGUUUGAGGUGAAGUCACUAGUAUGAACAAAUUAGCAUCAAACUUAGCUAAACUUAAAAAGUGGUAUACAUGCCAAGAAAACCUCAGUAGAGUUGGAGAAAGCGCGACCACAUAAGGAGUGGGAGUGUUUUAACUCAUUCCUGUCGUGACAUCAUCACAGGAGCCAAUUCAAAUCCCCUUAUAGAGGCAGUUUUAAUUACAUAUUUUAACUAAAACAACACAGAGAUACUUUUGGCUAACAAAUUUUCAGAGGAAAACUAAAGUUCACAUAUACAGGGAAGAGAAAAUUAGCCGAGCACCGAGCUUGGACAAAAGACUGGAUACGUUGUUGAGGCCAAACAGGAAAUCUAAUUUAAAUGAUGAAUUUAAUUUACGCUAAACUAGCUCAAGGAAAGAAUAUUAAUUUAAAGCUGGUUUUAAUUUUCUCGCCUGCUUAAUUGUUUAUACUUUUAGUCAACAUUUAAUUUGAAGUAAUUUCUAAAAGGUAAAAGGACUAAAUUAAUAUUUUCACCUGCUGCCCGUCCCCAUGUACCUGAGUCACUGCCUGCUGGCCAGACGACUGAGAGCGGGAAAGUUUGUUGACUGAAAAGAGCAGAUUUGCCGAUAUAUAGUUACCUUUUAUUUACUUUAAUCUGUAGAGUGACACGUGUAAAUCCUGUAAUUUUCUCAUAAACCUUGGAUGUGACGCUGGAUCCACAGCUGCUUUUUGUUCAGACUGUGUGUAUUAGACCCACUCAGCGAUAGUUUUCUUCGGAAACUAGAAGCCACUACAUUCGUGCAAGAACAGCUUUCUAUGAGAAAUCUGUUUCACUUUAUUUUUAUACAGUCCAAACAAAAGACCUGUAUUACCCAACAUUAUCACAGGUUACCAUUUCCCCCUGUUUAGUCUACGUUAGCAUCAUGCUAAGGUCAUUUUCGAAUGGGGGUGGGUACUAUAGCAAAGUUUGGAUUACUGUUAUCGUAUAUUUAUCAACAUAUAGUAGUUUCCUGUAUAUUCAAUCAUGAACAAACCUGCCAGGACUCCAGUUUGGCAGAUUGUACUUUGCAGAGAAACUAGAGUCCACUUUCCAACGGACAAUGGUUCAACUCCCUGCUUUAACCUUCAGCAUGCCCCGCCCCCUUCUCUAUACUCCUUCCUGUCUUUUCUGGCUCUUAUAUCAAUAAAGGAAAAAAGGCACCAAAAAUUAGUGAAAAUCUUUACUGUUGGAGACAUUUUGUCCGUUUGUUGACCAAUUUUACGUUGACUAAUUAACAAACAAUGCACCUCCAAUGCUCUGGGAGCGAACAGACGAAGUGACGAGUUUUCACAGUUUUCCCCGAUUUACUCAUAUUGAUCAUCCAACCAAUCGCCCAAUCAGAGUCCUUUCAGGGUCCAUUUGUCCAAUUCUUCUCUCCAUCCCACAAUCGGUGAAUAAUGGACGUCAACUGGACUUUAGGUGAGUCGAAACCAUCCAUUACUCACCCCCCUCAUCAGAAGAUCUCUGCCUCCACGCUGAAGAAGCUGAUAACGCCGACCGUCUGCCAGCGUGGUUUGAUUGCUCGACAGACAAAUGUAGCCAAAGGGAAAACACUCAGCGUGAUGGAUUCAGGCGAGCUUAAUGAAAUGCUGCUGUUGUGAGCUGGCACCGCUCAGAAACUGUGGCCCUCAUAAAGGUCGCCAUGAAUCAAGUCGCUCCCUUCCCUGCCUACCACAUUUAUGAUUUUAUGAAAAGCUGACCCCAGCCGAACACAUAAAUAUCCAACCGAGUGUUUAAGAGCCGAGGAAAGAGUUUGAAAGUUUUAAAAAUCCUAAAGAGAUCCAAAUGAAUGUCAAGAGAUCCUUUUGACGUUAUCUACCGUUGAACACCUGCUCUCUACGUCUCCAACCUCAGGAAAACGGAGGGAUAACGGAGAGAGAGAAAGAAGUCAAACUAAAUCUACUAAUACCAGCUCUAGUUUUUCACCCUUUGGAGCAUCUCUACAAGAGCUGUGGCGAUACACUAAUGCGGCCAACGUGCGUCACCUUGUCCGGGUAGGUUGGUUGUAUUUCUAGAAUAUUUCACGUUUGUGUGAAACAGCCGACAAACCGCCAAACUUUUAUCUAGAUUAACUCUGUUCUUCUUCCUUUCCUUCGUUCCCACACAUCUGCUCUUAACCCUGAGAACUCCAAGCUAUAUUUUGCUAUUUUUGGUCUUUAAAAAUCUAUGAAACAACUCAAUCCUUUCGAUCACAGCAAAUCUAAACACAUCUUUUUUUUCAGGACAAUCUCAGCUUAACCAGAAAACAAAAACGGAAACUGAUCCCAACAGUAUUUCGCUCCAAAAAACACAUAAAUCUACAGUGACCAAGCCUUUUCUCACCUGAACAUCAUUCUCUCAAGUCUUGUCUAUCAGGAGAAGAAAUAUUGGGAUUGGAACAAACACACAACAGAAACUAUUGACAUAUUUACACUCAUUCUUCCAGGUGUUUUUGACUAUAUACAGUUGUUUCUGCCACUCCUUGAAGCAGUUCCUGUCUGGGAUGAGACAGAGGACCACAUCAUACUGCUCACAAUCUCUUCUCUGUUUGUUUCCAAACAUUAUUAGGACCAUUAUUUCUGAUUUUGAAGACAAGCAGGGAACUUUCUCGUCUCUUAUUGGACACUACCGUCAAAGGAACAAUAGAAGAAGAAUAUGAGACCAUGUGAUUGGUCGAGAGUUUGACAGAAAAAGACGUCAUCAAAACAGCUCGUCAAACCGGAAGACAUUAACGAUUAAGUGAUCUUUUUUUUAUCACAAUAAUCUGAUCAAUAAUCCUAUUUUCACCGGUAUAUCACUGCGGAUUUACCAUCAAACGUCUCUGAUCAAACACCUGUUUUUGUGGCUGGAUUGUAAACCUUGUAGCAGGUGUAGAAAUGUCUGGAAACCCUCAAUAGAUCGCCAAAAGGGUAAACUUUUGAACACUUUUGAUCCCGUAGAGAUACACGGUAUAGAUCCUGAGAAACUGUAAACUAUAUUAAAGGUGUCGCAUGGGAUCGCCGGCAAUCCAUCGCAGAAAUCCGAAAAUACACUUAAGGGCCGAUUUUGGACGAAAAUUUUCGGUGCAUCCCGACUUUUGAGCAUGAUGGUGCAGGAGUCAUAUUCCCUGCCAUUGUCUU